UACGUAGGGUCCGAGCGUUGUCCGGAAUUAUUGGGCGUAAAGGGCGCGUAGGCGGGAUGGCAAGUCGGUCGUGGAAUCCCUCGGCUCAACCGAGGAACGUCGAUCGAUACUGCUGUUCUUGAGGAUUGCAGAGGAGACUGGAAUUCCCGGUGUAGCGGUGAAAUGUGUAGAGAUCGGGAGGAACACCGGUGGCGAAGGCGGGUCUCUGGGCAAUUCCUGACGCUGAGGCGCGAAAGCGUGGGGAGCAAACGGG
This 253-nucleotide ribosomal RNA is filed under the name uncultured bacterium. Its description in RNAcentral is "partial 16S ribosomal RNA". It matches the Rfam family "Bacterial small subunit ribosomal RNA", at positions 524 to 776 of the family's 1533-position model. The record is from RNAcentral.